This 808-nucleotide unclassified non-coding RNA is filed under the name Bombyx mandarina (wild silkworm). RNAcentral's name for it is "non-structural maintenance of chromosomes element 3 homolog, transcript variant X2". The record is from RNAcentral. Lineage: Eukaryota; Metazoa; Arthropoda; Insecta; Lepidoptera; Bombycidae.
AUCAAAACAUUAAAUUUACUCGAAAGAAAGCCGCAAGUUAAAACAUAAAAUGAGUAGGCAAUCACAAACAGAAUCCACAAGACUAUUCGAUAACUCUGUAAGACAAUGUGUAAGGUAUGUGUUUUGUCGCGAAGCUGAUAAAAUACCCAUAAAACGAUCUGAGAUAUUGGAGCAAAUUGCGCCCGAAUAUAGGAAAAAAUCGAAAAAUGUUUUAGUUGAAGUUGAAAAAGAAUUAAAACGGGUGUACGGAUAUAAACUUGUAGAAAUAAAAGAUAAAGAUAAAAUCCUAUACAUUGUUGUGCUGGAUGAAGCAUGUGACUCUCCACCUUCGAGAACAACAGACCUACUACAGAAGAGGAUAUUGUCGGGGGCUCUUACACAUAUCUUCAUGUCAGGAAGACCAGUCAAAGAAGAUGAUAUGUGGAGUUUCCUAGAUAAAUCUGGUUUACUCGCAGAAGAUAACAUUUCUGGAAGAAAAUUACUAACGCAGCAAUUUACAAAACAGUUGUACCUUUCAUAUUCAAAGAUGGGGGAAGGUGAACUAGCUAGGUACGCAUUUGACUGGGGUCCAAGAGCUAAUCAUGAAUUGCCCAAGAAGUUCAUACUGCAAAAAGUUGCAGUAGCAUUUGGUACAGAUCCAGCAUGUUGGUCGGAACAAUACAAAAGAACACUGGAAUAAAUCAAGAUCUACUUGUACCUUGAAUAUAAAAGUAAUUUUUCAAUAAAGUAGAUGUGAAAUGAGUUGAUCCAUGAUGAUAACAAUAUUUCCUCAUUUUAAUAUUAAAUACGUGGACUCAAUCGAUCUGCA